CUCUCGGUAGCCAAGUUGGUUUAAGGCGCAAGACUGUAAUUUAUCACUACGAAAUCUUGAGAUCGGGCGUUCGACUCGCCCCCGGAGA
This 88-nucleotide transfer RNA is filed under the name Saccharomyces cerevisiae (brewer's yeast). It matches the Rfam family "tRNA". From Rfam's summary of the family: Transfer RNA (tRNA) molecules are approximately 80 nucleotides in length. The record is from RNAcentral. Lineage: Eukaryota; Fungi; Ascomycota; Saccharomycetes; Saccharomycetales; Saccharomycetaceae.